CCCUUAGAUGUUCUGGGCCGCACGCGCGCUACACUGACCAGUGCAACAAGCAUCCGUCCUUGGCCGACAGGCUCGGGCAAUCUUUGAACGCUGGUCGUGAUGGGGAUAGACUUUUGCAAUUUUUGGUCUUCAACGAGGAAUUCCUAGUAAACGCAAGUCAUCAACUUACAUUGAUUACGUCCCUGCCCUUUGUACACACCGCCCGUCGCACCUACCGAUUGAAUGGUCCGGUGAAGCCUCCGGAUUGGCGCGCACCUCGGUGCCGCCGAGAAGUUGGCUAAACCUUACCAUUUAGAGGAAGGUGAAGUCGUAACA
This 315-nucleotide ribosomal RNA is filed under the name uncultured eukaryote. Its description in RNAcentral is "partial 18S ribosomal RNA". It matches the Rfam family "Eukaryotic small subunit ribosomal RNA", at positions 1470 to 1796 of the family's 1831-position model. The record is from RNAcentral.